Molecule: ribosomal RNA, 244 nt
Filed under: uncultured bacterium
Lineage: Bacteria
Description: partial 16S ribosomal RNA
Rfam family: Bacterial small subunit ribosomal RNA
Source: RNAcentral
ACGAGUGGCGGACGGGUGAGUAACGCGUAGGAAUCUGCCCAAUAGUGGGGGACAACCCGGAGAAAUCCGGGCUAAUACCGCAUACGCCCUACGGGGGAAAGGAGGGGAUCUCUUCGGAGACCUUUCGCUAUUGGAUGAGCCUGCGUCGGAUUAGCUUGUUGGUAGGGUAACGGCCUACCAAGGCGACGAUCCGUAGCUGGUCUGAGAGGACGAUCAGCCACACUGGGACUGAGACACGGCCCAG